ACGGGUGAGUAACACGUGAAUUACAUGCCCUUCAGAGGGGGAUAGCCCAGGGAAACUUGGAUUAAUACCCCAUGGUCUCGCAAGAGUAAAGGUGGCCGCAAGGCUGCCGCUGGAGGAUUGGUUCGCGGCCUAUCAGCUUGUUGGCGGGGUAACGGCCCACCAAGGCUACGACGGGUACCUGGUUUGAGAGGACGAUCAGGCACACUGGAACUGAGACACGGUCCAGACACCUACGGGUGGCAGCAGUCGAGAAUAAUUCACAAUGGGGGCAACCCUGAUGGUGCAACGCCGCGUGGAGGAUGAAGGUCUUCGGAUUGUAAACUCCUGUCAUCCGGGAGUAAGACCUGGCUGUGAAUAGCAGACAGGGUUGAUAGUACCGGAAGAGGAAGGGACGGCUAACUUCGUGCCAGCAGCCGCGGUAAUACGAAGGUCCCGAGCGUUGUUCGGAAUCACUGGGCGUAAAGGGAGCGUAGGCGGUGCGGUAAGUCAGAUGUGAAAUCCCGGGGCUCAACCCCGGAACUGCAUCCGAUACUGCCGUGCUUAGAGGGUUGGAGAGGUAGCUGGAAUUCACGGUG
Molecule: ribosomal RNA, 575 nt
Filed under: uncultured bacterium
Lineage: Bacteria
Description: bacterial SSU rRNA
Rfam family: Bacterial small subunit ribosomal RNA
Source: RNAcentral